ACUCAGGUGAAGAGUCCCAACUGGGACAAGACGCGCGUCCUGAAU
RNAcentral lists this non-coding RNA (45 nucleotides) under Schistosoma mattheei. Lineage: Eukaryota; Metazoa; Platyhelminthes; Trematoda; Strigeidida; Schistosomatidae. The record is from RNAcentral.